Gallus gallus (chicken) is the source of this 1641-nucleotide long non-coding RNA. The record is from Ensembl. Lineage: Eukaryota; Metazoa; Chordata; Aves; Galliformes; Phasianidae.
CACAGCAGAGGUUUCUCUUUUUUGGAAGAUCAACAGCCCUGCUAAGGCACUCCUGGAGAAGGCAGAGUGACAGCCUCCAUUCCCUCCUUGAACCCCAUCACCUUCCUCUUGGAAUGAACAAGAAUGAACAACUUCCUGCAGAAGCUGGCAGUCCGUGGCUUGGACAGAUAAACUCUUGGCUGGGCUGUAUUUGCUGACUUUUUAGGCAACCAUUUGUUCCAGAGGAACUCACUUUAUUACUUUAUUUCCCUUUGGCAAGAUAAUAAUUAUCUGAAAUGGAAAUAACUGAAUUCCUUUGGUGAAGUGCCAAUGAAAACUAUACCCAGACUUCCAGAAGAACUGAAUACGAUGAAACCCAUUGACUUAUAGUGGACUCGUGGUAUUUGUAAGCACGCUGUGGCAAAGCACCACAAUGUUUCAGGAGGCUUGAGAGGUGCACUUCUAACAUCUCCUUGAUCAGGCAGAGCCCAUGCGCCUCAUUCUACAGACAACAUUUGCCUGCUGGUCCACUAUUUUACACUGUGAAUCAAAUGGGUUUAUAAGCAGGAAGGAAAGGAAGGGAGGGAAAUUAAUUUGAUUCUUCUAAUGUCUGUGAAUUAAGAACUCCAGCUGUGGAAAACUAAUGCAAUGAGCGGUCCUGCCAACAUCAGCUGCCAUGGAAGUGCCUGCUUCCAAGGAUUUGUUUGGAUUUUGGUGAACACACUCUGGACCAAAGAUAGCUUGUUAAUUCUUAUUCAUAAUGAAUUAGAUAAAAAAUACAAAUCCUCAUGGUACAACAUAUUUACGGACCAUAUUUCUGCCAGCUUUGCUGUUUGAUUUUUCAUUAGAAAAAUUCAUUAAUUUUUUUGAAUCUAGGAAACUAACUCUAUCGAAAAGUUCAAGAAUAAACGAUAUGAAUAAAAAAGUGACUUUUGUUAAAAGUAUGACUGAUGAAAACAUGCAACUGAGAAAGCAGCACCAGCCCCAAGCAAAGGAAUCAGGAUAUGCUUCUUUUUUUUUCCUUUGAAAGAUAUCAAAACUAAAGUGCGGGAUAUAUAAUAUUAUCUUUUCAUAAGUCCUGUCUUCUUUUCAAAAUUGAUUUGGAAAACCUGCCAGCAACAGAAAAGAUCAAGAGCCAAGAGAGAAGCAAUGCUUUAUGGAUCGGCUGCUAUACUCCUGUGGCUUCAGAAGUGUAAAGGCUUCAAUAUUUUUGACUAGCUGGGAAAAUAACACUAUUAAUUCUUCUAAUAAUUACAGAAAAGUCACAUUAAUUUUUUUAAUGAACAUUGCCCAUUACAGUGCAAGGAUAUUAUAUUGAUUAAGCACACUACCAAAUUUUAGAUCCCUGACAUUAGAAUAACUGUAAACAAGCUUGCCAGUAUCAAAAAAUAUGGGAGAAAGGAAACAAAAAAGGGAAAGAUUUUAGCAAUGGCAUAGGAUGUCUGGUCCUUUGUCAUGAGGUGCUAUGGAUUGUUUGCCAGUCCACUGUCAUUAGAUGCUGUUGGGUAUAGCAGUUGGAUUCAUGACCUUUCUGCAUUUUCAGCUGAAUGUCAGCACUACAAGAAUAAACAGCAAGACCAAUUGCACAAAGAUUUUUGUGCUACUCCUCUAACACAAAGCUGACCCAUUCAGACUAAAUGAAAUCCUGACUGUAUUAAAGGC